GUGGGGAAACGCUGAUACACAACGAGAAAAGUUGCGCAACUUUUGGAAAAAAGACCCCCACCCCUGUGUCGUCUCAUCCGAACGACCCGAUGAGGUUUCCUCUUCUUCAACAAAAACUUACACACAGACCUUAAGACCAGCAUCUACAGACCUCAUGCUAAAUAACCACCCUCAAUUCCUCCAUAGCCACAUCUAUACCACUCUCUCUGAAGCAGAAGGUCGAACUCCCCAAGCUUCCCUCACCAGUCGCCAGAUUUGAUCACCGGUAGGUCUGGUCGACCAUUCACGACCAGUCAUUGAAAACACAUACAUAGCAGAGAGAACGAAUAGAAGUCGGCACAGAGGAGAGGAUUUUUGGCUGGGUUUAUUUGUCGCAAAAAUAGGAUUUGACUAAGAUUUAGGUUUGAGUUCGUGUUUGAUUCGAGAUUCACGGUGCCGUGUCGAGUUCCCAGCUGUUGCUCGAGGUUCCAGUCUAAUUUCUGCUCGUGUUUGUUGAACUUCAGCCCUCUUUGUUGUGUUUUUUCUUCGGCUCUUCUAAUUGUUUCUUUCCCAACCAGGUAUUCAACUAUGAAUUCAAGUUUUACUUGGACAUAAUAUGAAUCGUGUCUUUUCUUCCUCUCCAUGAUAUUUCGAUAAAUUUAUUAUCUUUACGAUUGAAUCCUUUUUUGAGUAAUUUUUAUGUUAGAAGAUUUAAACGGUUUAGCUUAUAUCAGUGUCGUCAAAUUCUGGUGGGGAAUUACAGAUGUAUCGAAUUUGCGAAGAGGAUGAUUGGUUGUGGUCAAUAAAGUUGUUGUGAUGUGCUUAACGUCCAUAUGUGAUGAAAAUUUUGAAAAAAGUUCGAGUUAUAACUAAACUUAGACUAGGUCGUUUUGACUUAAUCAAUGUGAAUGAAUUCAACUAGAGUUCUUGGCUUGAUUUUCGAGUAUUGAGCUAAAAUUUGUUCUCAAUUUGUUGAUGCUGUUUGUGAAUCUUAGCCCUUGAUAGAGUUUCUUAGUUGUUAAACCGUCCUUGUAUCUACUGAAUUCUGGUCUGAACUCAUUUGUGAUGCAGAACAUUUUAAAUUGGCUUUUUGGUCUGGAAACAAGGGAGUGGAAAAGGAACAACACCAGGGGAUGGGUAUUAUCCGCCAAGUUGUCAAGAAAUAAAUGAUUUGUCAUUAAAAAAAAGCAAAUAAUUGUUGUGCCUUUCAUUUAAUUUAGUUGAACAUUAGGCAUCCAUCAUGGUAUGGCACCGUAUGUCUCUAAUAGUAUGGUUUGGAUAAAAAAAAUGUAAAGAAAUUUUUGGACAUGAAUUGGAUUGUGGGGAUUUGGGUUUAAAAUUCAGAUUAAUAAAUAUUUGAUUUUUUCUUUAAAUAUUAAAUCAUUGUAACUAUUGAUACGGUUCUCGUGGCGUGGUUGUUAUACCUAAACUAAUUAGUUGUCAAAAUAAAUAACCGUAGCUUAACUAAUUGCUUUUCCAUUCAUAAAUCAAGGCGUGCCAUUUAGUU
RNAcentral lists this long non-coding RNA (1486 nucleotides) under Nicotiana benthamiana. RNAcentral's name for it is "long non-coding RNA (NBEN_LNC037581)". The record is from RNAcentral. Lineage: Eukaryota; Viridiplantae; Streptophyta; Magnoliopsida; Solanales; Solanaceae.